UGCAAGUCGAGCGGCAGCGCGGGGGCAACCCUGGCGGCGAGCGGCGAACGGGUGAGUAAUACAUCGGAACGUGUCCCGUAGUGGGGGAUAGCUCGGCGAAAGCCGGAUUAAUACCGCAUAUGCUCUACGGAGGAAAGCGGGGGAUCCGCAAGGACCUCGCGCUAUGGGAGCGGCCGAUGUCCGAUUAGCUUGUUGGUGGGGUAAAGGCCUACCAAGGCGACGAUCGGUAGCUGGUCUGAGAGGAUGAUCAGCCACACUGGGACUGAGACACGGCCCAGACUCCUACGGGAGGCAGCAGUGGGGAAUUUUGGACAAUGGGGGAAACCCUGAUCCAGCCAUGCCGCGUGAGUGAAGAAGGCCUUCGGGUUGUAAAGCUCUUUUGGCCGGAAAGAAAAGGCUACGGAUAAUACCUGUGGUCCUUGACGGUACCGGCAGAAUAAGCACCGGCUAACUACGUGCCAGCAGCCGCGGUAAUACGUAGGGUGCGAGCGUUAAUCGGAAUUACUGGGCGUAAAGCGUGCGUAGGCGGUCCCGCAAGUCCGCUGUGAAAGCCCCGGGCUUAACCUGGGAACUGCAGUGGAAACUAUGGGACUUGAAUCCGGCAGAGGGGGGUGGAAUGCCAGGUGUAGCAGUGAAAUGCGUAGAUAUCUGGCGGA
This 656-nucleotide ribosomal RNA is filed under the name uncultured bacterium. RNAcentral describes it as "bacterial SSU rRNA". It matches the Rfam family "Bacterial small subunit ribosomal RNA", at positions 56 to 705 of the family's 1533-position model. The record is from RNAcentral.